GAGGGUAUAGCUCAGUGGUAGAGUAUAUGCUUAGCGUGCACAAGGUCCUAGGUUCAAUCCCCAGUGCCGCCA
This 72-nucleotide transfer RNA is filed under the name Camelus bactrianus (Bactrian camel). It matches the Rfam family "tRNA". From Rfam's summary of the family: Transfer RNA (tRNA) molecules are approximately 80 nucleotides in length. Their secondary structure includes four short double-helical elements and three loops (D, anti-codon, and T loops). Lineage: Eukaryota; Metazoa; Chordata; Mammalia; Artiodactyla; Camelidae. The record is from Rfam by way of RNAcentral. RNAcentral also lists the same sequence under 2 other names.